RNAcentral lists this ribosomal RNA (857 nucleotides) under uncultured bacterium. Its description in RNAcentral is "SSU rRNA". It matches the Rfam family "Bacterial small subunit ribosomal RNA", at positions 524 to 1381 of the family's 1533-position model. The record is from RNAcentral.
UACGGGAGUGGCAAGCGUUAUCCGGAAUUAUUGGGCGUAAAGCGUCCGCAGGCGGUCUGUCAAGUCUGCUGUUAAAGCGUGGAGCUUAACUCCAUUUCGGCAGUGGAAACUGACAGACUAGAGUGUGGUAGGGGCAGAGGGAAUUCCCGGUGUAGCGGUGAAAUGCGUAGAUAUCGGGAAGAACACCAGUGGCGAAGGCGCUCUGCUGGGCCAUAACUGACGCUCAUGGACGAAAGCCAGGGGAGCGAAAGGGAUUAGAUACCCCUGUAGUCCUGGCCGUAAACGAUGAACACUAGGUGUCGGGGGAAUCGACCCCCUCGGUGUCGUAGCCAACGCGUUAAGUGUUCCGCCUGGGGAGUACGCACGCAAGUGUGAAACUCAAAGGAAUUGACGGGGGCCCGCACAAGCGGUGGAGUAUGUGGUUUAAUUCGAUGCAACGCGAAGAACCUUACCAGGGUUUGACAUCCUGCGAAUCUCUUGGAAACGAGAGAGUGCCUUCGGGAACGCAGUGACAGGUGGUGCAUGGCUGUCGUCAGCUCGUGUCGUGAGAUGUUGGGUUAAGUCCCGCAACGAGCGCAACCCACGUCGUUAGUUGCCAGCAUUUAGUUGGGCACUCUAGCGAGACCGCCGGUGAUAAACCGGAGGAAGGUGUGGAUGACGUCAAGUCAUCAUGCCCCUUACAUCCUGGGCUACACACGUACUACAAUGCUACGGACAAAGGGCAGCAAACUCGCGAGAGCUAGCAAAUCCCAUAAACCGUGGCUCAGUUCAGAUCGUAGGCUGCAACUCGCCUACGUGAAGGAGGAAUCGCUAGUAAUCGCAGGUCAGCAUACUGCGGUGAAUACGUUCCCGGGCCU